UACGGAGGUGGCAAGCGUUACUCGGAAUCAUUGGGUGUAAAGGGCAAGUAGGCGGCUUGUUAAGUGAGGGGUGAAAUCUCUCGAUUCAAUCGGGAGACUGCCUUUCAAACUACCAAGCUUGAAGCAGGAAGAGGGAAAUGGAAUUCUCGGUGUAAGGGUGAAAUCUGUAGAUAUCGAGAAGAACACCAGCGGCGAAGGCGAUUUCCUGGUCCUGUCUUGACGCUGAAUUGCGAAAGCUAGGGGAGCAAACAGAAUUAGAUACUCUGGUAGUCCUAGCCGUAAACGAUGAGUACUAGGUGUUGGGCCGUAAGGUUCAGCGCCGUCGCUAACGCAUUAAGUACUCCACCUGGGAACUACGGUCGCAAGGCUAAA
RNAcentral lists this ribosomal RNA (372 nucleotides) under uncultured bacterium. RNAcentral describes it as "bacterial SSU rRNA". It matches the Rfam family "Bacterial small subunit ribosomal RNA", at positions 524 to 898 of the family's 1533-position model. The record is from RNAcentral.